UCCGAGUUGACCCCGGCAGUCUCUUAUGAGUCCCCACCAUUACGUGCUGGCAACAUAAGACGAGGGUUGCGCUCGUUGCGGGACUUAACCCAACAUCUCACGGCACGAGCUGACGACAGCCAUGCAGCACCUUACUGGCGGUGUAUUGCUACAAAGAGAGCUUUCACCCUCGGUCUUCCAGCAUUCUAGCCCAGGUAAGGUUCCUCGCGUAUCAUCGAAUUAAACCACAUGCUCCACCGCUUGUGCGGGCCCCCGUCAAUUCCUUUGAGUUUCAGCCUUGCGGCCGUACUCCCCAGGCGGGGCACUUAAUGCGUUAGCGCCGGCCCUCGGGGGGUCGCUCCCCCAAGCGCCUAGUGCCCAUCGUUUACGGCGUGGACUAC
This 380-nucleotide unclassified non-coding RNA is filed under the name uncultured bacterium. RNAcentral describes it as "contains 16S-23S intergenic spacer region". The record is from RNAcentral.